Molecule: long non-coding RNA, 385 nt
Filed under: Manacus vitellinus (golden-collared manakin)
Lineage: Eukaryota; Metazoa; Chordata; Aves; Passeriformes; Pipridae
Description: lncRNA (ENSMVIG00005019143.1)
Source: RNAcentral
GGGGCAGGCGGGAGGCGCUGAGGGACGCGGCCGGCCCGGCACUCACUGCCCGCGGAGCCCCUCGGCGCCGCUCCCCGCCGCCUGACGCCGCCCCUCGGGCCUCACCGGCACGGCCCGGAGCGGGACGUGCCCUCGGGAGGGAGUCUGCCAGGAGCAAUAUGGAGACGGCUUGGAAGUCCUGUGUCCCGCGGUCCCUCGCUGAAAUUUGAUUGGAAAGGCUGGAGCCACAGCAGCUGGGGAGCCACAGAGAGACUGAAGCUGAACAUCAUCCAAAAAUGGUGAGAGAUGACAGGCAUUGAAAAGGUAGCUUCAUUCCAAGCCUGUUCUCCUUGUGAGUCCCUCCUGUAGAAAUAAAACUGUGGUACUUGUGUGUUGUUUUCUUUCU